GCAGCGUGCGUCUCGCUGCGCCGUAACGCCUGUGUGGCGUCGUUAAACGAAAACCUCAGCCUGGUUGGCGAAAACCUCAGCCUGUGUGGCGACACGGAACCUCAGCCUGUGUGGCGACACGGAAACUCAGCCUGUGUGGCGACAGAAGAACGGAAACUCAGCCUCUGUGGCCACCCCAAUUCGCACUAAGUAUUAAAUCUCCCUUUUGUCUUCUUUUUAUCAAUGUGAGUAGUCUCCUUUCGACCUUCCGAUCCGGUUCAAGACAAAGAAAGAUAACACGUUUCCUGCUGAUGUUCCUGCCUGGAGUCAGUUUGCGAUCCCUGUCUUCGCCUGGCCCUGCCUGAGGCUGCCUCGGGAACUCCUCGGUCACAACAACUCCCAAGAUUCCGGAGAACUAUCAUCUCACCUCUAGCCACAGCCCCUCCGAUCAACUCAAAAUGGACAAGGUCCUGAACAAGCCGCGUUCACUUCAAGCGCCUUCAAUCGCCUCUGUUUCUAAGCAUGGGCCAAAUCCCGUGCAAUGUCAAACUAACGGUGCUGGAAGUGAGUUCCCAGAAGGCUUCAUGUUUCUUGGUGCAUCCUACACUCCUGUUCAACGCUGACAAAAAUGGCUGCCAGAACUUCCUUCAGAGAACCAGAAACGUGGGAGUCAACAGGCGGUGCCGCCUUCUGCCAAGAGAAACAUAAUACGUCUCAUCGCGUCUUGAUGGAGCGUUUCACUCGACGGGCCAUUCCGGCACGGCGGGGACAUUCGGAGGACGGCUAAAAGGUGCCUUACGGCGAAGGUGCUUUACGACAGCGAACACGCUGCGAUAGCGGUCAUGUACGGCAGAGUCGGCUAAUAAAAAAUGGCUAAUAAACCA
Ixodes scapularis (black-legged tick) is the source of this 863-nucleotide long non-coding RNA. RefSeq lists it as uncharacterized. The record is from RefSeq and is a predicted model, not a curated record. The transcript is spliced from 4 exons. NCBI's taxonomy places the organism in Eukaryota, Metazoa, Arthropoda, Arachnida, Ixodida, Ixodidae.